Molecule: ribosomal RNA, 301 nt
Filed under: uncultured bacterium
Lineage: Bacteria
Description: partial 16S ribosomal RNA
Rfam family: Bacterial small subunit ribosomal RNA
Source: RNAcentral
CAGCCGCCACGGUAAUACAGAGGGUGCGAGCGUUAAUCGGAUUUACUGGGCGUAAAGCGUGCGUAGGCGGCUUCUUAAGUCGGAUGUGAAAUCCCUGAGCUUAACUUAGGAAUUGCAUUCGAUACUGGGAAGCUAGAGUAUGGGAGAGGAUGGUAGAAUUCCAGGUGUAGCGGUGAAAUGCGUAGAGAUCUGGAGGAAUACCGAUGGCGAAGGCAGCCAUCUGGCCUAAUACUGACGCUGAGGUACGAAAGCAUGGGGAGCAAACAGGAUUAGAUACCCCUGCAGUCCCUGUCUCUUAUAC